This 4825-nucleotide long non-coding RNA is filed under the name Sus scrofa (pig). RNAcentral describes it as "lncRNA (ENSSSCG00030004753.1, ENSSSCG00150029041.1)". Lineage: Eukaryota; Metazoa; Chordata; Mammalia; Artiodactyla; Suidae. The record is from RNAcentral.
AGCUGUGGUACCCAUUGUUCAAAAGAAGAUCCCAUGGUUGUGGCUCACAUCACCCCAGGGCAAGCUCUAAAUCUGGUUUUUAAGGUGGAAAUUGCCCAUGGCCAAGUUCCCCUUGGGGAUUCCACAGGAAGGACAUAACCCUCCCUAACUGAGGCGGAUGUACAGUCUCCAUAAAUCAGCCCACCAUCCUCCCAGCGUUGGGUCCUGUCCAGGGAAGGCCUGGCUUGUGUUUGGGGGCUGCAGUGGGAGCAGGGCUGUGUCUGAGCAGACUCAGUCACCAGGGGAACUACUAACCCACAUCUCCCCCUCCCAGCAUAUCCACCAGGCCAUCAGUUCUUCUCUCGGAGGCUUUUUAUUUUUUGCUGAGCAUGUGUAGUUGAAUUCCUGUGAAGUGCCCAAGUCGUGACUGCCCUAAAUAUAACUUAAGUAGAGAGAGGAGGUCUAUUCUAGUUGAUGUUGGAGAUGGGAGGUCUCCUGCCUUGACCUCUUUUCCAAGGUAAUCCCAAGGCCCAUCCCUAGAAUACCAGACUCAAGGGAGGCCAGUAUGAAAGCCCGUGACUGAGGUCCAUCCCUUUGGUUUCCAUCCAGGAAAGCAGGGCUCUGAGAGAUGAGGGGGACAAAGCUUUGGGGACUAGGUGGGAGGUGGUUGAAGCAGCCAUCCUGGAGGAGGGGGUAUGGGCAGGGCAGAGUAUGAGGUAAUUUGAGGGCCUGCAAUGGGGCAGGGGGGUUGACAUGAUUGGGUAGGUCAGGAGUUUGGAAGAGAACCAAUCUGAGAACUGAGAACUGGAGAGUGAGCUGAGGCUCAGUAGAUGAGAAAGGGAGGAACAAAUGUGUCAGCAAAUGGGCACAGCAUGUGCAAAGGCCCUGUGGUGGGACAGAGCAGAGUGAGUAAAGUGAAUCUAAAAGACCAUGUAGUUGGAGCUGUGAGGUGAGUUGGGCGUGGGGGGUGAGGAAGGCUUAGAGCUGAGCUGCACAGGCUCCAUGGGGAGAGUAGCCUGGUCUUACACUGGGGGCAUGGGGAGCCUUGGGAGCCUGAGCAGGGAGACAGUGCCUACCUCUGCCUUCCCGCCUGACUCCCACCUGGCUCGGCCUCUUUUGUGAACUCCCUCCUCGAGUCUCUACCACAGAGCAACUUCUGAAGGUGCCAGGGGUUGAGCCUACUUAGCAGAUGAAGAAACUGAGUCUCUGGAUCUUCUCAUGGCCCCACCCACUUCCUCCUGCCCAGAGAAAAGAGGAACAGGGAACAGACACCCCAUGGUCAGCUGGGAAGAGUCUGGGCUGGGAAUGGGGAGGGUGGGGCCCUCGGAGGUCCACGCCUGGGAUGGGCAGGGGCCCUGCUUCCGUUUAACCACAGCCCUGUGACAUAUCCCAAAAGGGAAGCAGAGGCUGCCUCGCUUCGUCCCCUGUACCCUAGGGAGGGGGCUAGGGAUGCCCGGGGGGGGAGGGCAGAAGCUUGCGGGGAGUCCUCCCUCUCUUCCCCCAGACUACGAGUCUGGCUUCUUGGAGAACUUCAGGGUCAGCUUAACCUAGCUGGGUGACCUCAGUCAAAUCUUGUCACCUUGGCUUCCUCCUCUGUAAAUAGAGAUCAGAACCUCUCCCCAGGCUAUUCUCAGGUUUAGCACACACUGGGGACUCGUGAAUGGCUGCCCCAAUGGUUAUUAAAUCAGCUAAAGGUGUUUUUUCUUCCAGAAAAACAUAGCCAAUUAGACAAAGAACCCAUGUAUUUGACUUUCAACAGAUAUAUGUUGAACACUAUGUUCCAGGCGUUGUUCUGGGUAUUGCGGAGAUAGCAAUGAACAGACCAGAUGCAAAUGCCUGCCAAUGCCCUGCCUGGUCUGUGGCAGACAUCAAUAAUCAAUCGUAUUCCCACUGAAAUCAGAAUUUUCCCCAGAACUCUAUACUGUUUGGGGGAUGGCACUAGAGGGGGACCAACCUGUCAUUCUCAGAGAGGGGCAGCAAAUGGGGACUUGGAAGAUCCCAGUGAGAAUUCCCCUUGGUGGUUUAUGCCAUUUCAGUCUAUUUCAACAAACAUAUAUUGCGCACCUGCUGUGUGGAAGGUGCUGGGCACACAGCAGGUGACCAGGUUGGGCACAGUGCUUGCCCUCAUGAAGCUGGCAUGCUGGUGAUGGAGACAGACAGACAAGUAAACAAAUCAGUAGAUACUUCCAGACAUGGAUAGGUGCUGCAAAAACAUAACCAGAGGGGUGCAGUGGAGGGUAACGGGGCAGGCAUCUGGGGUGGCGCAUGUGGGCAGCGGGCUCUGGGAGGAGGUUGGCAUUUAUUGACGACUAAUUAAUGAGAUGCAUCCACCAAAGGAAACUAUAGGGAAACAGGGCUGUAGGUGGGGGGGAACAGCAAGGGCAAAGGCUUGGAGGUGAGAAUCAGGUUGACCUAUUUAAGAAGCUUGGAAUUCCUGGGGUGCAUGAGUGAUGGGGAGAGAAGUAGGAUAUGGGCUUAAAAGGGGAAGGGGCCAGAAGUCCAGAUCUUGGAGGUCAGGGUCAGGCAUCUGGUCAGGCAUAUCCUUCCGUCCCUGGAGGAUUAAAGCAGGGAGUGACUUAGGUGGGGUAAUAUUUUUGAUCUCUCCAGCUGCCAUGCGGAAAGGUUGUGUAGGGGACAAGGGUGAAGCAGGGAGACCAGGUUGGAAACAACUGCAGAUGUCCAGGCAAGCGAUAAUGGUGGCUUGGACCAGGAUGAUGGCAGUGAACACAGGGCUAGGUGGCCAGGGCUGGCGGGAGGCCCAGGGCUCUGCAUUUGGUUUCAUUUUUCCUUUUUACACAAUCCACUCGGGGCUCUGGGUCACUGGACUUUCCCUAGCACUGCCGGUAGAGUCCACAGCAGGCUGGUGAUCUGGCCUUUCCUCCUUCUGGCCCCCUCCCUGCUGUCCUGGACCUCAACUCCUCUUCUCCAAAGACAAGCCCAGCCCAGUUACUCUGUAAUUGUCUUUUCCAGAGCUCAGACUUUGUGGUCCCCUCAAUAUGCUGGGGGCAGGGGGCUGAGAGUCUGAUCUGACGGGGUCCCUGAUCAUAGAGAAAUACCCAGAGAUGGAUUGCUAGAGGGCAGCCUCUUUCUUGGGAAAGUUCCCCUCUGAUCCUGACUGUUGCUGAAAUAGGGCAGCAGAUAACACGUACUCUCCUUACUUAUUCAGGCCUCAGGUGCUUGGAUUGGCAGUGGUUCGAGAGCGGUGUUGAGCAGGGUUCUGAGACUGCAUCUGGGCUCCUAGGAGGGAGAAUCAUAAUUGAUUAGUAAUGCCUUGUGGGCCCAGGAUAUGUUCAUAAGGCUCAUGUUGGCCUAGUCUUUGUGUGUCCAGCGUGCAGUGGGUCCUCAGGCCUGCCCUUUCCCAUUGUGACCCUAAAUCUUCAAGUACAAUAGAUGCUAUUUGGGAAGUUCCCUUGUGGCCCAGUGGGUUAUCGGUCUGGUGUUGUCUCUGCAGCAGCUUCAGUGGCUGCUGUUGCACAGCUUCAGUCUUUGGCCCAGGAACUUCCACAGGCUGUGCCAAAAAAAAAAAAAAAAAAUACUGUUUGAAAAUACCUGUGGACUUGCUUUCAUUGUCUGUAAAAUGGGGACUUGCUUUCAUUAUCUAUAAAAUGGGAAUGAUGACAACAAUGCCCCAAAGAGGCUGGGGGGCUUCCCUGUUCCCCAGUAGUGACUGGAAACAGAGGCCCUGAGAGCUGCAUUGUCCAAAGUCACGCAGCUGAGAGAUGGCAGAGCUGAGAUUUGAACUCAGGGCCCCUGAGUCAGGGAGGGCAGGCGGAACAGUUGGGCUGGGGAGAGGAAGAUGCUGCCCGGCUCUCCCUGUGACCCUGGCCCCCACUUCUCCUUUCUGCCCAGUGUACUCAGCACACAGGAAGCCUGGCUGGGGCCUCCCUUGCCCAUCCUGUCUGCAGCCGGGUGGACAUGGGGUCCUGGCGUCACCCGCCGCCACCCCGGGCCUCCCACUUCCUGUCUUGUGCAAGAUGAGGCGUCCCCUGCGUGGAAUGGGCAAGCGGCUCUGGCGGAUGGGUGGACGGGUGAGUGGGGCCUCUUGGGCAGGGUCACUGCCCGCAGUUACCGCCAGCAGGCCUGGCCUAGCCCCCACCCCUUCCUCCUCCUUCUCCUCCUCUGUUUCCCCAAAGUACAGACGGCCUUGAGCAAGGGCCUGGGGGACCUGGGAAAUGUGGGGAAGCCACCCAGCCAAUAUCUGGUCCCAACCGAGCAGGCCUGGGCUUGGGCUGUUAUACGGAGGGUCCCAAACAACCUUGAUAACUGUAGUGAUAAUGGCUUCAUUUAUUCAGUACUUGUGACACAGGCAGCAUCUUAUUGAAAUGCAAACAUAUAUAUAAGCACCUACUAUGACUUGCAUGUGCCGUUCUAAGUCUUUUAUAUCUAGUGUCCCAUUGAAUCCCCACAAAAACCGCGUGAGGUUGUUCUGUUUUUUUAAAUGAUCCCUUUCUUCACAUGAGGAAACUGAGGCUCUGAGAGGUGGAGGAACGUGCUCACAGUCAUGUAGCUCAGCCACAUCCCACUGAAGGACCUUGUCUGUAUCCUGGGGCCAGCACUGUUCUGGAAGUUGGGGAGCCCAGAAGGGAGGUGCAGUUGGCCGCUCUCCACCCCAGGAGCUCAUGGCAUGUGGGUGGCCUCUGUGGGACUCAGUUUUCCCACCUGUGCCAGCUCUGGUUUCUCAGGCUUAUGUUUGUGGGUCAGAGAGUCUGGGGCAGUGCCAGGGUCGGCAGCGUGGAGGGGAGAGAGGAUAGAGGACACUUCUGGGAUGGUCACAGUCCCGGGUACUCACAGUGCCCGCCUGGGAGGUCAUACCUGUGGCCUCUGUCCUGAGUCUCUCUGCCCGAGG